GGUUGUUAAUGAUCUACCCUGCCUCUAGGCUGAAUCCUGAGAUGUGGAGAUUUGGACUAUGUGGAUGGAGAAGGGUCAGGGAAAGCCUGGUGGAAGAUGUGUGAUCAGGCUGUACUGUGAGGCUGCCAAAGCUAAAAACAAACUAAAAUAGGACAAGCUGUGGGAAGAACAGAUGAGGAGGCCUUAAAUGCUAAGCUCAGACACUGGGCUUGCUAGGCCAGGAAACCCCCAGCCAAGGAUGGGUUCUAACUGAUUUCUGUGUCCCGAAAAGAGCCUGACACCAGGCGAUUUGCCACGAGAAGGACAUGGCCUGGUGGCUACUGCACCUUCAGCUUCCGCACACAUAAAUACAUAUGGAACACACUGGACCUAGUCUCCAGCCUGGAGCCAUGCCUAUAGCAUGGCUGAAGCAUGAAGCAGGGCUAACUGGCCACAUUCAACCUCCAUCAGCUGAAGCACAAUACACCUGCAAACCUAUGAGUCUGAGAAUAAAGGCUUGUUAUUGAAAG
RNAcentral lists this long non-coding RNA (509 nucleotides) under Pan troglodytes (chimpanzee). RNAcentral describes it as "long non-coding RNA NONPTRT000679". The record is from RNAcentral. Lineage: Eukaryota; Metazoa; Chordata; Mammalia; Primates; Hominidae.